RNAcentral lists this ribosomal RNA (406 nucleotides) under uncultured bacterium. RNAcentral describes it as "partial 16S ribosomal RNA". It matches the Rfam family "Bacterial small subunit ribosomal RNA", at positions 29 to 526 of the family's 1533-position model. The record is from RNAcentral.
AUUGAACGCUGGCGGCAGGCUUAACACAUGCAAGUCGAGCGAGCGGCGGACGGGUGAGUAAUGUCUGGGAAACUGACUGAUGGAGGGGGAUAACAACUGGAAACGGUAGCUACUACCGAAUACCAUCAGAUGUGCCAAGAUGGGAUUAGCCAGUAGGUGGGGUAAUGGCUCACCUAGGCGCAGAUCCCUAGAUGGUCGGCGAGGAUGACCAGCCACACUGGAACUGAGACACGGUCCAGACGCCUACGGGAGGCAGCAGUGGGGAAGAGUGCACAAUGGGCGCAAGCCUGAUGCAGCCAUGCCGCGUGUGUGAAGAAGGCCUUCGGGUUGUAAAGCACUUUCAGCGAGGAGGCGUUACUCGCAGAAGAAGCACCGGCUAACUCCGUGCCAGCAGCCGCGGUAAUAC